AAAACAUCAAAAUGUAUUUCGUCUCUCGUCUUCCUCACCUUCGUCAAGUAAUGGCUUCUUCUUCACCUUCCUCAAUAAACUGAGAUUCACCUUCCUCAAUCAACGGAGCCCAGGGCGAUUUCUAUUAUUAAGAUUGAUUGGCUUAGUGGAUUGGUGGCUUUGAGUGUUUCAGACAGUUUGGCUUGGUGACUUUGAGAAUUGUGGUGGAGCUAUAGAUGGGACUCAUAUUUCUACACAUGUUCCAAUUGAUGAACAAAUACCAUAUCGAGGCCGAAAAGUGGAUACAACUCAGAAUGUUAUGUGUGUAUGUUCAUUUGACAUGAAGUUCACAUACGUUGUUCCUGGAUGAGAAAGAUCAACUAAUGAUGCACGAAUUCUUCUAGAAUGUGCCACAAACUCAGAUUAUGGAUUUCCAAUGCCGCCCCAAGGUAAGUAUUUAUCAAACUUAUUAUGUUGAUUGACAUUAUUUUAUAUUAAAUAUCUAUAAGUAAAAACUAACAUGAAUUAUCAUUGGAUCAAGAAAAUAUUAUCUUGUUGAUUCUGGCUAUACAAACAUGCAUGGUUUUCUUUCACCAUAUCGAGGGGAAAUGUAUCAUUUGGGCCAGUACACAGAUCUUAAUCCCAUAGGAAAAAAAGAGCUUUUCAAUUAUCGACACUCUUACUUGAGAAAUAUCAUUGAGCGGUGUUUCGGCGUGUUGAAGGCUCGCUUUCCAAUCCUAAAGCAAAUGCCUUCAUAUGAUCUAAGAAUACAAAAGUACAUUGUCAUUGCUUGCUGUGAGAUUCACAAUUUUAUAAGGACAAAUGUAGCAGCAGAUGUAUAUUUUGAUGGAGGUGAAGGAAAUUCUGAAGUACAUGCCACUACUUUACAAAGCACGGAUGAAACUUUGACUGAUAGUGUAGAGUUCAGUAUUUCUAGGACUCAUAUACGUGAAAUGACUCAUGUUCGUGAUGAAAUUGCUGAUCAUAUAUGGAAAGCUAGUUGACGAUAGUGAGAUUGAGUAAAUACAUUAGUUGAUUGUUAAGACUCGUUAAAUACUUUAAGUUUAGGCAAUUAUCAGUUCAUACA
Molecule: long non-coding RNA, 1066 nt
Organism: Humulus lupulus (European hop)
Lineage: Eukaryota; Viridiplantae; Streptophyta; Magnoliopsida; Rosales; Cannabaceae
Exons: 3
Source: RefSeq, a predicted model, not a curated record